RNAcentral lists this ribosomal RNA (253 nucleotides) under uncultured bacterium. RNAcentral describes it as "partial 16S ribosomal RNA". It matches the Rfam family "Bacterial small subunit ribosomal RNA", at positions 524 to 776 of the family's 1533-position model. The record is from RNAcentral.
UACGUAGGGUGCAAGCGUUGUCCGGAAUUAUUGGGCGUAAAGAGCUUGUAGGCGGUUUGUCGCGUCUGCUGUGAAAUUUCGGGGCUCAACCCCGAACUUGCAGUGGGUACGGGCAGACUAGAGUGUGGCAGGGGAGACUGGAAUUCCUGGUGUAGCGGUGAAAUGCGUAGAUAUCAGGAGGAACACCGAUGGCGAAGGCAGGUCUCUGGGCAUUAACUGACGCUGAGGAGCGAAAGCAUGGGGAGCGAACAGG